This 211-nucleotide ribosomal RNA is filed under the name uncultured Enterobacter sp. RNAcentral describes it as "partial 16S ribosomal RNA". It matches the Rfam family "Bacterial small subunit ribosomal RNA", at positions 312 to 525 of the family's 1533-position model. Lineage: Bacteria; Pseudomonadati; Pseudomonadota; Gammaproteobacteria; Enterobacterales; Enterobacteriaceae. The record is from RNAcentral.
CCGCCGCGCGCGGCGGGCCUACGGGAGGCAGCAGUGGGGAAUAUUGCACAAUGGGCGCAAGCCUGAUGCAGCCAUGCCGCGUGUAUGAAGAAGGCCUUCGGGUUGUAAAGUACUUUCAGCGGGGAGGAAGUGUUGAGGUUAAUAACCUCAGCGAUUGACGUUACCCGCAGAAGAAGCACCGGCUAACUCCGUGCCAGCAGCCGCGGUAAUA